Molecule: transfer RNA, 73 nt
Filed under: Candidatus Omnitrophota bacterium
Lineage: Bacteria; Pseudomonadati; Candidatus Omnitrophota
Description: tRNA-Lys
Rfam family: tRNA
About the family: Transfer RNA (tRNA) molecules are approximately 80 nucleotides in length. Their secondary structure includes four short double-helical elements and three loops (D, anti-codon, and T loops).
Source: RNAcentral
GGGCCGUUAGCUCAACUGGCAGAGCGGCGGACUCUUAAUCCGUAGGUCGCAGGUUCAAGUCCUGCACGGCCCA